GGAGAGAUGGCCGAGCGGCUGAAGGCAACGGUUUGCUAAACCGUCGUACCUGGAAUCCCGGGUACCGCGGGUUCGAAUCCCGCUCUCUCCG
Molecule: transfer RNA, 91 nt
Filed under: Phycisphaeraceae bacterium
Lineage: Bacteria; Pseudomonadati; Planctomycetota; Phycisphaerae; Phycisphaerales; Phycisphaeraceae
Also listed under: 1 other name
Description: tRNA-Ser
Rfam family: tRNA
About the family: Transfer RNA (tRNA) molecules are approximately 80 nucleotides in length. Their secondary structure includes four short double-helical elements and three loops (D, anti-codon, and T loops).
Source: RNAcentral